AAAUAAUUAAAAUAUAACAGUGAUAAAAAAAGAAGAAGAAGCUACUCUAUAGGGAGCCUACAGCCAGGCCCAAAUUCUCCAACCUCACUUCUUUCGAGUUUCACAUCCUCUACCAAGGUUUGGAUGCGGCAAAGUUCCCUUAGGGUUCGUUUGAACCCCUGGCUUAUACCAAACACCCAGAAUGCAUCAUUAUUUACAAGUGCAAGUGUGAAAGUGCCAGCCUUGUGCAUCAAAGUUCAAUGGGUUCUCAAGGCUCCCAAGGAAAUGCUUACACAAAGGGGGUAGAACCUAAGGUUUAAGAAUAGUGAGAUUGUGAUAGAGUUGAAAGGGUUGAAAACAAUUGAGAGACAGUUUGAAAGGAAAACAACAAGAAGAGUUGAAAGAAUUCCUUUUGAAAUUUAUUUGGACUGACCAGUUACAAAACAAGAGAAUCACACAAGCAGGGGUAAAGGGAAAGGGAACAAAUAAGCAAAGAAACCAUUCACAUGUACAACACAUCAAAGAAAAUCAAUCGAACAUGGCUGCACACAAGGAGUCCAGUUCUUACUGCACCAAACUCCAAACAUAAUUAUCCUCAGGAAGAGGUUUCAGGACUGUUAAUUAACCAAGCAGGCAUGAAUACAUGCUAGUAGUGCAUAGGAAUGGAAAAACAUACAUUGAGACAGGGAAAGAGGGGUAGUGAACAUGCUAAGUCAAGCUAGGCAAACUAAUAAGUACAUGCUAGUGGCAAUGAGAACAACAGAAACAUAAGUAAAAACACACUUGAAACAGGAGGAAGUGUAGAACUAAUAGAAGCAUGUUGUUUUGAAGACUGUAACUUAAAGAGGUGACAUACCAGUUGCAGAUAAUAGAAACAAUAGCAAUGAGCAAUAAUGCACAAAGGAGAGCAAAGUGUGCAGAGAUUGUGCAUAGAGUGAGAGCAGCAGUGUGCAGAGAAGCAGGUAGCAAGCAAAACCAAGUAAAUAAUGCAGUGGAACCCCAGUAAUAGAAAUAAACAGCCAAGAUUACUCGAUCUUAGCUUUCAG
RNAcentral lists this long non-coding RNA (1025 nucleotides) under Nicotiana benthamiana. RNAcentral's name for it is "long non-coding RNA (NBEN_LNC029529)". The record is from RNAcentral. Lineage: Eukaryota; Viridiplantae; Streptophyta; Magnoliopsida; Solanales; Solanaceae.